RNAcentral lists this ribosomal RNA (440 nucleotides) under uncultured bacterium. RNAcentral describes it as "partial 16S ribosomal RNA". It matches the Rfam family "Bacterial small subunit ribosomal RNA", at positions 338 to 795 of the family's 1533-position model. The record is from RNAcentral.
CCUACGGGAGGCUGCAGUGGGGGAUAUUGCACAAUGGGGGAAACCCUGAUGCAGCGACGCCGCGUGUGGGAAGACGGUCCUCUGGAUUGUCAACCACUGUCCCCAGGGACGAAGAUGACGGUACCUGGGGCGGAAGCUCCGGCUAACUACGUGCCAGCAGCCGCGGUAAUACGUAGGGAGCGGGCGUUGUCCGGAAUUACUGGGUGUAAAGGGAGCGUAGGCGGGACUGCAAGUUGGGUGUCAAAUCUACCGGCUCAACCGGUAGCCGCACUCAAAACUGCAGUUCUUGAGUGAAGUAGAGGCAGGCGGAAGUCCUAGUGUAGCGGUGAAAUGCGUAGAUAUUAGGAGGAACACCAGUGGCGAAGGCGGCCUGCUGGGCUUUUACUGACGCUGAGGCUCGAAAGUGUGGGGAGCAAACAGGAUUAGAUACCCGAGUAGUC